RNAcentral lists this microRNA precursor (128 nucleotides) under Picea abies (Norway spruce). RNAcentral's name for it is "miR11555 stem-loop (pab-MIR11555)". The record is from miRBase by way of RNAcentral. Lineage: Eukaryota; Viridiplantae; Streptophyta; Pinopsida; Pinales; Pinaceae.
UAUAAACCAGCAUAGAUCAAUCUUAACUCCGGAUCUUUUAAGCACUCAGAGAUUUGCACUUGGGUUGUUUUUUAUCCAUCUCCGCCCUUAAUAGAUCUGGAGUUAAGAUGGAUCUACACUGGUGUGUA